Molecule: ribosomal RNA, 253 nt
Filed under: uncultured bacterium
Lineage: Bacteria
Description: partial 16S ribosomal RNA
Rfam family: Bacterial small subunit ribosomal RNA
Source: RNAcentral
UACAGAGGUCUCAAGCGUUGUCCGGAUUCAUUGGGCGUAAAGGGUGCGUAGGUGGCGUCGUAAGUCGGGUGUGAAAUCUCGGGGCUUAACUCCGAAACUGCAUUCGAUACUGCGGUGCUUGAGGACUGGAGAGGAGACUGGAAUUUACGGUGUAGCAGUGAAAUGCGUAGAGAUCGUAAGGAAGACCAGUGGCGAAGGCGGGUCUCUGGACAGUUCCUGACACUGAGGCACGAAGGCCAGGGGAGCAAACGGG